RNAcentral lists this small nuclear RNA (189 nucleotides) under Erinaceus europaeus (western European hedgehog). RNAcentral describes it as "7SK RNA". It matches the Rfam family "7SK RNA", at positions 1 to 188 of the family's 331-position model. From Rfam's summary of the family: 7SK was discovered as an abundant small nuclear RNA in the mid-70s but a possible function has only recently been suggested. Two independent studies have found that 7SK RNA binds the CDK9/cyclin T complex (known as elongation factor P-TEFb). P-TEFb activates transcription by phosphorylating the C-terminal domain of RNA polymerase II. Lineage: Eukaryota; Metazoa; Chordata; Mammalia; Eulipotyphla; Erinaceidae. The record is from Rfam by way of RNAcentral.
AGAUGUGAAGGUCAUCUGGCUGUGACAUCUGACACCCCAUUGAUAGCCAUGGUUGAUUCGGCUAAUCUGGCUAGCUAGGCAGGUGUUCCCUUCCUGCCUCACCAUUCCAUGUGUGUCCCUCCUGAAACUGUGUGCUCAGUCAAAGAGGACGGCCUUCCCCGGAUAGAGAUAGAAUAUGGUUCUGCAAAG